UUCCAAAUGCGGUAGCCGCACACGCCUUCGUUUUUGAAACCUUUAUUUUGAAUCUGAGACUCUCUCUCUCAACUCUUAUACGCACACAUCUCUCUCUCUCUCUCUCUCAACUCUCUCUAAUCUCCAUCGAUGAUUCAGGUCAAAGCUCCAUCGCAGCGAUUUCAAAGCUCCAUCGCCAGCACCAUCUGCACCGGCGAGAGAUGCAGAGAUUCAGUGAUUUCCAGAAGCUCAGAUCUAAACUACGAUCGAUCUCUGGCGAUGGCGCAGAUGGAGGUGGUGGCGCCGUACGCCCUCAAGAACACCUCGAGUUAGUGGGAUCAAAUUGACGAGUCCCCCAUUUGGCAGAAUCGAAUAUUUCACGUCCUCGCUGUUCUCUACGGCAUUGUCGCCGCUGUUGCUCUGUGAGAAGAGGGAAUGGGUUGAACUAUCAAGAUCGGCCCCUUUAUUGAUCCUGUAGUUUGGGACAAAAUAGUAAUGCUUAUGUUUUGAUCGGAGUACAAGAGUCUUUUGUGAAGGCAUGGUGAGUGAGAUUGCUGACUUUGAGACUGUUAGGGAUAUCAAAGAGAAGCUUUGCUACAUAAGGUUAUCCUUUUGAAAGCAAUCUGUGAUCUGUGCUGUUGCUUUCCACUUGAUAGUGCAAAGGCACAAUUUAUUCAUGUCGUAGAUUGCCUAACAUUCCUAGUCAAUUUGUAGAACAUUUCUACUUGAUUUAAUGCCGGGCCCAAAUUUCUUCGUUACUUUGAUAGUGGAAGCACAGGAAGCAGUGGCGGCAAUAGAAGCAGACAAUAAGUGCUAGCCAUGGAUGAUUUUGUGCGACCAAGGUGAACGAUUUGCAGGUUUCCUUCAAAGUUGCAGAUGCUUUAAAUAAACCAGAAUCUGGAUGUUGUUAAGGUACAUCCAAGACAAUAACUAACUAACUAUAACCGUCUCACUACUAUCCGUACCAUACACAUCAUCCACAACUUGUGAGUAAAUCUAUCACCAUCCAUUUAUGUACUACUACUCAAUCUCAAAUCACAACAUCAUGUAUGUCAACGGUAACUGAUUUAAUCAUGACCUAGCCCACACCAAAGAAAACAUAGUAGUGUCUCUCCCCAUUUCUCUCCAUUCCCAGCUCUUCAAAUACUCUCUCUCUCUCUCUCUCCAUUUUGAAGCUCUUGAAACAUUCUCUCUGAAGAAUAGCUCGAGUUACUAUUGCACUAAGUGUGUUGGUUUUGCUAAUGGCAACUCUGAUCAUCUCUGUUGGAUCUUUGAGAUCUUCGUAGGACAAUCACCGCUACAAGGAAGGAGAUCACAUCCCAUUGUUGGCUAGCACAGUUUAUCCUUUGAAUAAUAAAUGUGCGGCGAUCCCAUACUUUAAACUGCCCUUCUGCCCCCCAGGAUGUAAGAAAUUAAAUUUAAGGAAAAUUGUUGAUGUUGUUUUGUACAUGUAUGCUACUAAAUAUUUGCUACCUACUUAAUAAAUAUGUGUGCCUACAAUAUUAACUACACGACAAAAGAGUCAUUCUUUAGAUUUACACGAGUGUAAUACUUAUAGGCACAAAAUAUAGAAUAUUUAUCAAACUAUGAAUGUCUUCAAAAGCCAUGUAUCUGCGUGUUUGUUUAUGUGUGCAUCAAAAUUUUAUUGGAUUUUAUUUGAUGGACCCGCAGAGUAAAUAGAGACAAAAAUAUGAGUUUAUGUUCUGCAGCUCCAAUAACAAAUAGGAGGAAAACCUUGGAAGAAGUAUUAGAGGGUGACUGCUUUUGUGAGAAGAACCUGACCAAAGAAGAAGUUGCGUAGUUUAGGCAUGUAGUCCGCAAUAACUUUGAAUACAAGAUGUACCAUAACAACAUCCAAAUUCUGGGUAUAAUUAGUUUGAAUUGUAUCUUUUGUGCCGGUCUGUUUUGUAAUAACUUUGAACUUACCACUAGGCACUAGUUUAACUUUAUUUCAUCUUGGAAUUGAAAUAUUUUUGCAUAUUGAGAAGUAUGAAUUGAUCCAAUAUUAUGUUUACCUAAAUUUAGUCAAUAUAUUGAAUAUUUUUCAUCUUUAUACAGGUAUUUUUUUUUAGUUAAAUUUCACAGAAUUAGUACAAUUUCAAAAAAAAAAAAAUGAAGCUAUAACGACGUUUUUAAAUGCUACUAUAGAAUAAUGCCAACGGUUAUAUUUUUAAAAUAGAAAAGAUCUAUCACGGUGUUUUUAAAACGUCGCUAAAUGUAGUGUGACGUCAUUGUACUGUUUUGUAGCACAUUUAGCGGCAUUUUAAAAAACGUCGCCCAUACUAAUAUAGCAAAGCUUUUAAAGUGUCAUAAAGUCAUAACGAUGGUUGCAUCUUCGGCGUUUGGUACUAAACGUCAGAAAAAUAAUUAGCAGUGUUUUUCAUAGCUAUAGUGGCGUUUUUUAAACGCCACUAAAAACCUAAUUUCCAGCAUUGUGGGGACUACUGAUUAAAUGAUGUAUAUGAAAAAAAUAGGUCAUGUGUGAUUUAACUAACCACUAUUUCUUGUUCAGUUCUUUUCUUUAUAUUGUUGCAUUUCUAUGCGAGGAACAUAGGAGGAACGGUUUUAGAUAAUAUAUUU
This is a non-coding RNA of Camellia sinensis, 2559 nucleotides long. The record is from RefSeq and is a predicted model, not a curated record. Lineage: Eukaryota; Viridiplantae; Streptophyta; Magnoliopsida; Ericales; Theaceae.